Long non-coding RNA from Amphimedon queenslandica, 452 nucleotides. RefSeq lists it as uncharacterized. The record is from RefSeq and is a predicted model, not a curated record. The transcript is spliced from 3 exons. NCBI's taxonomy places the organism in Eukaryota, Metazoa, Porifera, Demospongiae, Haplosclerida, Niphatidae.
CCACUGCGCAUGCGCAGUUCAGUUCCCAAUUAAUCCAGCUGCUAAUGGCGUCCUUCUCUUUCUUCCUCCAUUACUGCUAGUCUAUUCUUUGGCCGUUUGGUCCUUAGAUAUUCACUGAAGUCUUUUGAAAAUUAUCUCAUUUUGGAGGCCCGCUUCCUUUUCAGCUGGUGUUUUAGUGUUUUCCUUCUCCCUCACUGGGCUAUGAUUUCAGUCUAGACUGAUUGAGUAAGACUUGAUGUUGUUAUAAAACUCUCAUAAGACGGCAUGCUAAUAAUUGAUUGACAAAUUCUCUCACUUUCUGCUCUCUCUCUCUCUCUCCUUUCCUCUAAGACUACCAAUGGGUUAUGUUCAAAAUGAAUUGUGUCCAUACAAGACUUGCUUCCUAACUUUGUGUUGACAUCAAUAGGUUUUAACUUCUUUUCAAGUGAAUUGUGUCUGAGUUUGUCAUUUAA